Molecule: long non-coding RNA, 1936 nt
Organism: Piliocolobus tephrosceles (Ugandan red Colobus)
Lineage: Eukaryota; Metazoa; Chordata; Mammalia; Primates; Cercopithecidae
Source: Ensembl
AUUUAUUUUUAUAUAAGGAUUAUUAUUCUAAAUAUUAUACUCUCUGACUCAUUUUACCUAUCUUUUUAAUUUUAUACAUAAUUUUAUGCAUAAUUUUAUAUAUUAUUAGUAUAUACUAGCUUUUAAUUUAUUUUUUUUUUUUUUUUUUUUUUUUUUUUUAAAUUAAUUGAUUAACUAUAUAUAAGUGGCUAAUUGUAAAUUUUUGCUAAAAUGGUAUACGCUACUUUACUAAGUGAAGAAGAUUUAAGUCGUUUUCGUACGAAGCAAUGUAGGAGAUUAUUGAACGAAGGUUGUAAUUUUGGGUUAGACCGAUGUCAAUAUAGCCAUAAUGAAUUUUGGAAUAGAAGAUGCCCCUAUUAUUUAAGUGAUUCUUCUUUUAUCCGUUACAUAACAAUUAUGUGUCCAAAUGUUGAAACAGAAGCAGACGGUACAAUUAAUAGUUUAUGUUUGAGAGGAGGUGAAUGUCCAUAUGCUCAUUCGUUAGAAGAAAUAUUAUACCACCCACUUUUUUACAAAACUAAACGAUGUGAAGAUUAUAAAAAAGGAUCGUGUAAUACGUAUUAUUGUCCUUAUGUUCAUGGCUUAGCUGAAAUGAGAUUACCAGGUACAUAUAAAUUGCCAUUUACUAACGGUUUAGACCUUCCCAAAGUUGAUAAUGUUAUAAUAGUAGAUAAGAUUGAUAUAAAUCAUAAAACAAAUAAUAACACAUUUAAUGAAAAAAAUAUACUAAAUAGUUUUGUAUUAAAAAAAAAAAAUGGUGAUAAUGUACAACGUAAUGAAUUGACAAACUCUAAUAUACAUGGUAAUAAUAAUAAUAAUAAUAAUAACAAUAAUAAUAAUAAUAAUAAUAAAAAUAAUUAUAUGCCAUCUCCAAUACAAAACAAUAAUAUAUAUGCUUUUAUGGAUCCAUUAACAAAUGAAAGUGGAAUAAAUAAAAACAACACACAAAGAUUUUCAUUACCCACUAAAAAUGAAUAUACAUUAAAUUAUUCCCAUGAAUCUAAUACUGUUCCUGUAAUUAAUAAUUUAAUCACAGGUGAUGCUAUAAAAUUUCAUUCGUUUUCUGGUAGUUAUAACACUAAUAAUAAUAUUACACUUAACAACAAUAGCGUAUUUAAUAGUAGCAAUUUUAAUAACAAUGGAUUUAAUAAUGUUGAUAAUUUUUCAAAUAAUAAAACAAAAAAUCAUAUUAAUGCAUUUAUUAGCAAUCGCUUUAGACAAGACUUACUUAAAGAUGGAUUAGUUCAUGAUAUUGAUGAUAGUAUUAACCAUAAUAACACUAGUAAUAGUAGUAAUAACAACAGUAACAAUAAAAGCUACAAUAUUUUAAACCAAUUAAAAGAAAACUUAUUUCAACAAUAUAAUGAAAAUAAUCACACUAAUAUAACUAAUACAAAAUUAUCUAACAUACAUAGCGAAAAAUAUAACGAAUUUAAUAAUAUGAAACUUAAUGAAUGGACAAAUAUAUCAAAUAAUAGUAACUUACGGGAAAUAAAAAAAAAUUCAUAUGGUAAUAAUUCUAUUAAUAUAAUUAAUAACACUCAUAGAGAUACUACUUAUGUUAAAAAUAAUUUUAAUUUAAUUGGAAAUAAACAAAACUUUUCAAGUUGUAGUACAACACCUUAUGAAUUUUAUUUUAACGAACAAGAGGAAGGGACAAAUAACGAAUUGAUGGAUGAAGAUUAUUAUUUAGAUAAUGAAGAUGAUCAAGAUACAUCUUUUACUUUGAAUAAAAAUAGUGUAUAUGAAUCAUUAAUAGAUAAUAAUGACUUAAGUUGUAAUUUGAAAAAUACGAAAUCUGAAACAAUUCAUGGUAACUCUAUUGCUAAUGUUAGUACCAAUCCUAAUACAAAUACCAAUACCUGUGCCAAUAAUAGUACUAAUACCUGUGCCAAUAAUAGUACCAAUACCAAUACCAGUUAUAAUACCAAUGCCA